This 71-nucleotide transfer RNA is filed under the name Heterocerus parallelus. RNAcentral describes it as "tRNA-Val". Lineage: Eukaryota; Metazoa; Arthropoda; Insecta; Coleoptera; Heteroceridae. The record is from RNAcentral.
CAAAUUAUUACUUUAUAGGAAGUAUUUUUAUUUACAUUAAAAAUUUAAUUGUGCGAUUCAAUUUAAUUUGA